RNAcentral lists this microRNA (22 nucleotides) under Danio rerio (zebrafish). Its description in RNAcentral is "dre-miR-200a-5p". Its record names the gene dre-miR-200a-5p. Lineage: Eukaryota; Metazoa; Chordata; Actinopteri; Cypriniformes; Danionidae. RNAcentral also lists the same sequence under 15 other names. The record is from miRBase by way of RNAcentral.
CAUCUUACCGGACAGUGCUGGA